Lentinula aff. lateritia is the source of this 91-nucleotide non-coding RNA. NCBI's taxonomy places the organism in Eukaryota, Fungi, Basidiomycota, Agaricomycetes, Agaricales, Omphalotaceae. The record is from the annotation of a GenBank genome assembly.
GCAUUAAUGGGGUAGUGGUAACCUGGGUCGUUGCCAUAUUAAUUUGGCUGCGUUCAUCGACCCGCCGGGGGUUCAAUUCCCCCUUAAUGCA